GAGGGUAUAGCUCAGUGGUAGAGCGCAUGCCUGGAAAUGCACGGGGUCCUGGGUUCAAUCCCCAGUACCUCCA
Molecule: transfer RNA, 73 nt
Filed under: Camelus bactrianus (Bactrian camel)
Lineage: Eukaryota; Metazoa; Chordata; Mammalia; Artiodactyla; Camelidae
Also listed under: 2 other names
Rfam family: tRNA
About the family: Transfer RNA (tRNA) molecules are approximately 80 nucleotides in length. Their secondary structure includes four short double-helical elements and three loops (D, anti-codon, and T loops). Further hydrogen bonds mediate the characteristic L-shaped molecular structure. tRNAs have two regions of fundamental functional importance: the anti-codon, which is responsible for specific mRNA codon recognition, and the 3' end, to which the tRNAs corresponding amino acid is attached (by aminoacyl-tRNA synthetases). tRNAs cope with the degeneracy of the genetic code in two manners: having more than one tRNA (with a specific anti-codon) for a particular amino acid; and 'wobble' base-pairing, i.e. permitting non-standard base-pairing at the 3rd anti-codon position.
Source: Rfam by way of RNAcentral